This 65-nucleotide microRNA precursor is filed under the name Marmota monax (woodchuck). The record is from RNAcentral. Lineage: Eukaryota; Metazoa; Chordata; Mammalia; Rodentia; Sciuridae.
UCUUAUGGAUGAGCAAACAAAGUGGCUUCUUGAGAUAGAAUCUGUCCUGAGGAAGAUGAUGUGAA